CUGCUGCUGCUUCUGGAGCAACAAGUGUCCACAGCGGUUCGUUUCGUUCGUUCCUCUUACCACCCACCCCCAUCGAACUUGAAGACCGAUGAAGAGCAAGCACAUGCAUCUCAGCUUGAGAUUUUGAGAUCGCUUCGCCUGCGAUGGAUGCCAGCUUAUCUCCUGCUUCCACAAGAUCGAUCGCCGUCACAGCUCAUUCUCUCUCCCACUCACUCGGUCGGUCCCUUUUCUCUGUCUCAUCGUCCUGUCUUAGCUCUCUCUCUCUCCCCGACUCCACUCCCAGCUCUCUCUCUCCGUUUGUAUUCCCCAUUCCAUCGCUGGCAACCUUCGGAGCAUCAGGAUCUACGGCUUCCCUUCCACAUUUCAUCGCCGGCAACACGAGGGAGUUUGGUCUAGGUUCUACGGCGUACCCUUUGCCGCCCUUCUGCUGGUAUCGCUUGGCCAUCCGUUUGAGCUGAAGGUACUGGCCCCGAUCCUAAUACACAAGCAUUGGUCCUUAUAUGUGUGGGAUUUUGAAAGGAAAAGGAUGAUAGUAUUGGAUCCAACGAGCAUGCAGCUUGAAAAAUAAGGAUGUAACAGAUUUAGCAAAAGUUGUGUUUUCAUAAGCACUUGAUGAUCACAAAUAUAUUUCGGAUUGCUUAUUUCUUCAACGUACAGCUAGACUUUACUAAGUGGUUUUGGUUGCAUGUCGUGUAACACGAGAUUUCAUUCUUUCUGAUGGCAAGUAUGGUUUGGACUGGUGUUGUAUGAGAUCAUGUAUUUACUUGCAAAGAAUUGUUCUUCUCAUAUUGGCUCUUAGA
Panicum hallii is the source of this 800-nucleotide long non-coding RNA. RefSeq lists it as uncharacterized. The record is from RefSeq and is a predicted model, not a curated record. NCBI's taxonomy places the organism in Eukaryota, Viridiplantae, Streptophyta, Magnoliopsida, Poales, Poaceae. The transcript is spliced from 3 exons.